CCACGCUGUAAACGAUGAUUACUAGGUGUGGGGAGCUAAGGCUUUCCGUGCCGGAGCAAACGCAAUAAGUAAUCCACCUGGGGAGUACGGCCGCAAGGCUGAAACUCAAAGGAAUUGACGGGGGCCCGCACAAGCAGUGGAUUAUGUGGUUUAAUUCGAAGCAACGCGAAGAACCUUACCAGGUCUUGACAUCCCCUGCAUAGCACAGAGAUGUGUGAAGUCUCUUCGGAGACAGGGAGACAGGUGGUGCAUGGUUGU
This 258-nucleotide ribosomal RNA is filed under the name uncultured bacterium. RNAcentral's name for it is "partial 16S ribosomal RNA". It matches the Rfam family "Bacterial small subunit ribosomal RNA", at positions 795 to 1052 of the family's 1533-position model. The record is from RNAcentral.